GCGUCUCAGUCUGAUGGCCAACCACUGGCUCCGACCCAAGGCGAGUUUCUCUCUCUCACUCACUCACUAACUCAUCUGUGUGAUGGUGGUUUGAUUGGUGCUGCGCAGGGGUGCUGCAACCAGCCACCUAACCAUGAAGCUAUCAGUUUAUUUGCGCCAAUCUCGUGCUACUUGGGGAUUUGUUUGUUGGCUCGAUAUCGGAGCUUUGGUUGUAUGAACAGAACAUUUUCUUUUAGUUUUAUAAUCUAUGCAGCUGUAGCCUUGUAGCUUUCUUGGGCAAUAAUGAGGUGAGUAUCAUUUCCUCAGGUCCUGUUCUGACUGACAAAUCUAUUGCAAUUAUGUUCUGUUUUCACGAGAUCACAUUCUAGGGAACUAGCUAAGUUGUUAGCUAUGUUUUUUUAACAUUAGCCGAGUCUUUUAUUGUCUUAGUAGAUUUUGAAAAUCAUUGAAAUUCUUUGUUAGUAUUAAUUAGUCAUGAUGUAAUGCAGUCAACAGUGAUCUGUGUUAGGGGCUUAGGCCUGGUUGCACUUUUAUAUUUUUUAACCGAGCUUAUUGUACUUACCUUUUUUCCAAAAAUUAUUAAUUUCUCUCUGCUAUCUUCCAACUUUGCACUUUUCUUGACAAAUAUGUUUUCCAUCUGAGGAUAUUAUAGUCUCCUAAACUAAUAUUUCUCCUCUGUUGUUUAGAAACUUCCCAGUAUAAGUAUUUUUCAGUUUAUAUAAAAAAACACAUUAGGUAUUAAGAAUGUUAUUUUAAUUGAGAAAAAAGUUCUUAUUAUUUAAAGUUAAGAGGGUCGGGCAUGAGCAUGAUGUCAUUAAGCCUUCAAGUUGAUUAUCUCUAUAACAGAUCAGAUAUAUUUUGAUAUUUUCCAAUUGCUACUGCUUUAAAAGCCUCCAUGCUAUAUUAAACUGCCAUGCUGAUCUUGUUUGUGUUGGAGUUUCAAGAGACCUACUGAACCUUACUACUUUGUACAAACUAUUUUAAUAUCCUGCUCUAACUAUGAUUUCACCUUUUCCAUAUUUUACAGUGACUCAAGUGACUCAGAUGAUGAAUAUUUGGAUACAUGCAUAUGCUCAAUCAUGUAAAUACAUCUUGCACAGGUGGAUUCUAUCAUGUGUAUAAAGAGCUGUAUCUCAGUAUUCCUGUCUUCGGCUUGGCCCUAACAGUACAGUGCAAUCAUGCAUGCAUGCAUAGUUCGUUCCAACAGACUCCGAACUGGUGAUAAUCAGCGGGUGGAUAUUUAGCUGGCCUUAACUGGGAGUUACAUCAAAGACCUAGAAAAUGAUCACCGGAUUCAGUAGGUACACAUGAUUAAAGAAGCCGAGAAAGAAUGCCUUUCUUUGGUUAAAUUUUGGAUACCAACAGCAUCCUGAGUUUCUGUUCGUGACGAUGGGCGUUGUCGUUAGCAUCUGUAUAUUUCAGCUCUUCCGGAACAUCACCGGCAACCUUGAAGUCAGGUCCGG
This 1463-nucleotide long non-coding RNA is filed under the name Zea mays. RNAcentral's name for it is "long non-coding RNA (ZMAY_LNC005485)". Lineage: Eukaryota; Viridiplantae; Streptophyta; Magnoliopsida; Poales; Poaceae. The record is from RNAcentral.